AGUGGACCAUUACUGUUCCCAAAACGCUGCUGUAAUUCUUCCCAAAGUUCUUUUGCACAGGUUGUAUACAAAAGGGCCUCAACAAUUUCUUUAGAAAUCAAAUUCAAAAUCCAAGAGACUACCAUACCAUCCACCCUUUGCCAUUUUUUAUAAUUGGGUGAAUCAAUGGAAGGCAUUUGACACUUUCCAUUAAUGAAACCCAGCUUAUCCUUUGCUCUAAGAGCCAUGAUCAUUGAACGAUUUCAAGAAAGAUAGUUUUCACCAGUUAAUUAUGCACUUAGCAGACUCAGAUUUGGAUGAUCUGAACUCUGUAGAUGCAAAGGAUCGUUGCUCAGAUCUGCAACUUUCGUAUCAGAACUUUCUGCCAUAGAAACAGUAAUCGGAGUUCACAGCCUGAAGCUCUGAUACCAUGAAAACAAGCUCAAAAAUGAGUAAGAAAAUAAAGACUAAAACAGAGAAAAUGAAAAGGAGAAUGAGAAAAAUGAUUCUCGUAUAUAUUCUGCAGUAGAGAUUGAUACAAUUUAUAUACAAAUACAAGAAUAACCGCCUCAGGAUGCCUGUACAUUCUACUAGCUACUUGUACAUUCUAGAAUACUGCUAUACUAACAAAAUUCUAACAA
RNAcentral lists this unclassified non-coding RNA (620 nucleotides) under Hevea brasiliensis (rubber tree). Lineage: Eukaryota; Viridiplantae; Streptophyta; Magnoliopsida; Malpighiales; Euphorbiaceae. The record is from RNAcentral.